This 71-nucleotide transfer RNA is filed under the name Loxodonta africana (African savanna elephant). It matches the Rfam family "tRNA". Rfam says of the family: Transfer RNA (tRNA) molecules are approximately 80 nucleotides in length. Lineage: Eukaryota; Metazoa; Chordata; Mammalia; Proboscidea; Elephantidae. The record is from Rfam by way of RNAcentral.
GCAGUGGUGGUUCAGGGGUAGAAUUCUUGCCUUCCAUGUGGGAGACCUGGGUUCGAUUACCGGCCAGUGCA